RNAcentral lists this ribosomal RNA (468 nucleotides) under uncultured bacterium. RNAcentral describes it as "partial 16S ribosomal RNA". It matches the Rfam family "Bacterial small subunit ribosomal RNA", at positions 28 to 507 of the family's 1533-position model. The record is from RNAcentral.
GACGAACGCUGGCGGCGUGCUUAACACAUGCAAGUCGAACGGAAAGGCCCUGCUUUUGUGGGGUGCUCGAGUGGCGAACGGGUGAGUAACACGAGAGUAACCUGCCCUUGACUUUGGGAUAACUUCAGGAAACUGGGGCUAAUACCGGAUAGGAGCUCCUGCUGCAUGGUGGGGGUUGGAAAGUUUCGGCGGUUGGGGAUGGACUCGCGGCUUAUCAGCUUGUUGGUGGGGUAGUGGCUUACCAAGGCUUUGACGGGUAGCCGGCCUGAGAGGGUGACCGGCCACAUUGCGACUGAUCGACGGCCCCGUCUCCUACGGGAGGCAGCAGUGGGGAAUAUUGCGCAGUGGGCGGAAGCCUGAUGCAGCAACGCCGCGUGCGGGAUGACGGCCUUCGGGUUGUAAACCGCUUUCGCCUGUGACGAAGCGUGAGUGACGGUAAUGGGUAAAGAAGCACCGGCUAACUACGUG